AACAGUUAAGACACUUAAUUAAACCCUUAGAGCAUGCAACGGUUCUUGGUAUCUCUUUCACCACUACUGCGCUCUGAAACCCAGACUACAAACAAAGGUACCUGCCAACUACAGCGAUUCUUCUACCACAACACUGCCCGGUGCGACCACAGAAGAGACUCCUGGCACCAUUGAACCCGUGGUGCUGACAACCGGUGAGUUUGAAUCUCUUUCUCUCUGUCUUUUUGUUUAUUUAGUCUGAAUUCUAUUUCAA
Molecule: long non-coding RNA, 253 nt
Filed under: Pogona vitticeps (central bearded dragon)
Lineage: Eukaryota; Metazoa; Chordata; Lepidosauria; Squamata; Agamidae
Description: lncRNA (ENSPVIG00000014851.1)
Source: RNAcentral